Molecule: ribosomal RNA, 433 nt
Filed under: uncultured bacterium
Lineage: Bacteria
Description: partial 16S ribosomal RNA
Rfam family: Bacterial small subunit ribosomal RNA
Source: RNAcentral
AACGAACGCUGGCGGCAUGCCUAACACAUGCAAGUCGAACGAGACCUUCGGGUCUAGUGGCGCACGGGUGCGUAACGCGUGGGAACCUGCCCUUAGGUUCGGAAUAACUCCCCGAAAGGGGUGCUAAUACCGGAUAAUGCCUUCGGACCAAAGAUUUAUCGCCUUUGGAUGGGCCCGCGUUGGAUUAGCUAGUUGGUAGGGUAAAAGCCUACCAAGGCGACGAUCCAUAGCUGGUCUGAGAGGAUGAUCAGCCACACUGGGACUGAGACACGGCCCAGACUCCUACGGGAGGCAGCAGUGGGGAAUAUUGGACAAUGGGCGAAAGCCUGAUCCAGCAAUGCCGCGUGAGUGAUGAAGGCCUUAGGGUUGUAAAGCUCUUUUACCCGGGAUGAUAAUGACAGUACCGGGAGAAUAAGCUCCGUCUAACUCCGUG